GAGUGGACUCCUACGGGAGGCAGCAGUAGGGAAUCUUCCGCAAUGGACGCAAGUCUGACGGAGCAACGCCGCGUGAGUGAAGAAGGAUUUCGGUUCGUAAAACUCUGUUGUUAGAGAAGAACAGCGCAUAGAGUAACUGUUAUGCGUGUGACGGUAUCUAACCAGAAAGCCACGGCUAACUACGUGCCAGCAGCCGCGGUAAUACGUAGGUGGCAAGCGUUGUCCGGAUUUAUUGGGCGUAAAGCGAGCGCAGGCGGUCAAUUAAGUCUGAUGUGAAAGCCCCCGGCUCAACCGGGGAGGGUCAUUGGAAACUGGUUGACUUGAGUGCAGAAGAGGAGAGUGGAAUUCCAUGUGUAGCGGUGAAAUGCGUAGAUAUAUGGAGGAACACCAGUGGCGAAGGCGACUCUCUGGUCUGUAACUGACGCUGAGGCUCGAAAGCGUGGGUAGCAAACAGGAUUAGAUACCCUUGUAGUCCUAG
RNAcentral lists this ribosomal RNA (478 nucleotides) under uncultured bacterium. RNAcentral's name for it is "bacterial SSU rRNA". It matches the Rfam family "Bacterial small subunit ribosomal RNA", at positions 329 to 799 of the family's 1533-position model. The record is from RNAcentral.